CGUGUUCUGUGAGUCCACGUCUGAUUUAUUUAAACAACGAUUCCCAAAAUGGCUAAUAUGACAAACGUAAGGCGUUUUUAUCGACCACUGAUUAGCCAAAGUGAUUUGCAUUCAAACAGAUUUUCAUCUUUAACGUCCAUCUAAUUCAAAUUGGUUACCCUAAUCAACGAAUUUAUCGACACCGAUUUCCGAAGCGAUUACAUCAAAUCGCCAAAUCACUUUUAUCGAUUUGGCAAGUCGAUAAAAAAAAAGUCUGUAGCUUGGUCGCAACUGACGUCAAAAUUUUUGGACCAUUCCCGAAUUUUUGGACAAAACCCAACCCUAACCCUAGCACGCGGUUCGUGUCAGUGUUGCUAAAAAUUAACCAUCAUCUCGUUUAUCAACGCGAGAUUUCGUCAAUUCACCAUGGCCGGUAUUGUGAGGAAUGUCUCCCUUGUGCAAAAUUUGACAAACGCUAUCGAAGAAGAAAUUGACAGUUUUGCUUAUUGAAGUACUAUCUGAUUAGCAUCAUACUUUGCCAGAAAAUCACAGAAUUAGUCUACAUUUACAUUUCAUCAGAUAAAUACAACGAAAAACAAAUCUCGAACUACAAUUUUCCAAAUAAAAAUCUACAAAUACAAAUCUUGCAAAACAUUUCUCUGAAAACAUUUCUCUGAAAACAUUUCUCUGAAAACAUUUCUCCAAAUACAUUUCUCCAAAAACAUUUCUGGACAUUUAUCGAACCGGAACAUUAUGACGACAUGAGCGGAAAUCAAUCUGGCAUACAAUAAGUCACCAUACAAUAAUGGGGAAUCGAGUAUACAUGAAUCACCCUUCUCAAAAAAGGGCGUGUCACUGUUGCAUUGUGGGAGGUCGGUGAACAACCCCACUCGUAGGCGGCCAUUACUUUGCAUUGAACUUCUGACCAAAUUUCGAAAAACGCCGAUUUUACGUUAAUUGUAGUGAUGGGGGAUAUUUCAUAUGAUGUGAUAGAGACAGAGAUGGUUGAUGCACGUAAAGGAUACCCCAGAAAGCACAUUUUGAAGUAUACAGAUCGCAAAAAGUCAGGCGGCGUUUAGACUGUGGAAUUUCUUGUACACGGGAGUCUAAGUGUAGAAGAUAUUUAUACUGUUCUGUGAACUCCGAGUGUACAUGAAGAUUAUACCAGGAUGGUACAGAUUGUAUAAAGGCUGAUGAUACUACUGGUUGUUCUUGUUAUAGAAAGGAUAUUGGUCAAACUGAAUCAUCAACGAUAACGUGUCCGUUGGGAUUUUAUGGUGAAAGCUGCCAACAUGUAAUAAUAGAUUGCAUAGAUGGCACACGACAGACCUUCAAUAUAAGUUCUAAUUUUGCCCUAUUCAACCAAGUGCAACAUUUGAACCAUUUGAAGUUGUAUGUGAUACUAAAUAUGGUGGUGGUACUAUCAUUCUGGAGAGAAGUAUCAGAUGCACUUAUGAAAACUUUAAUCGUUCACUGGAGGAUUAUGAAAAGGGAUUUGGAGAAGUUCCAAAGAAUAGAUGGAUCGGUUUUGAUAAACUCCAGGCGAUCAUUAAUGAAAACUUGGAUUUGAAUUAUUACCUUCACUUCGUCCUUUUCAAUUCAGACUGGAUGGCAUGUCAUCAGUUUUACCAGGGAUUGAAACUCGGAAACAAAUCCUCUGGCUACGCAAUGAUGUUUGAUUACAAUGAGGGCGACUGUGGUGAUUCCAUAACUGGGAGUUGAAAUCUUGAAGGACGGCCAUUCCCCACCUAUGACGCAGAUUACACCGACUAUCGAUGUGCUAAACGAUACAGAGGCGGCCGGUGGUUCGCGAACCAUCCUAACUGUACCAGAAGCUUUCUCACUGGAUCUAUGGCUGACUGGAUAACUAACAAUAUCUGGCUGGAUGAUAAAAACAACAUGGUCAUUACAACAGUGUUAUUAUUUGGACAAAACACGCAAUAAAGCACAUAUAAUGAUGUUUACAUUCGUUGUCCGUCGCCUGUUCGCAUUUUCGACUCCUUUUCGAUAACUGUCUUAUCGAUUUUUAAGCCAGAAUUAUAAGUUUGCAUGUGCGAUUCCUUUGACCCUAAUCUAUUAGUGUAUCUCCACAUUCGACUCCCCCGAAAUAACAUAAUUUCAAAUGCUAGUGCACCUUAAAUGGACAACAUUAUAUAUCUGACGCACUUUCUUCUGCUUCUCUAACGCCUCCCCAUGGAGUUUAAGUAAGUAUGGUGGAUGUUAUUUCAGUCUGAUUUGAUCAUAUUUGAUUCUAUAAGAAAGUAUGGUAAAUCUAUUGUUUGGAUCUGGGUUGAUCGCCUAAAUCUGGGAUGGUUUAAAAAGCGCCUAUGUGGACACUUUUCGACUAAUCGAAAUAUUUUAAACGGAUGUUUGUUAAGCAAGGUUGUUAUUAUAUUGAUAUAACGUUUUUGCUGAUUUAAUACACAAGUCAGACAGUUAAUAUACAUUAUGGACGAAUAAAUAACGAGCUGACAGUUCUCAACAUAAUAAUCAAAAACUAGAUAAUGUAAGGGAAUAUGUCGAAAAUAUCAGUCAAUUUGCUCCACCCUAAAUUGAGAUAUUAGCCGUGGAAUUUUAGGCCUAGCCUCGAUCAUUAUCAUCAUUACUAAAGUCGGUACGAUGAAAAAACAUCAAUGAACGUUGAGCAGAAAAUCGGAUUAAAUUCAGAUAAAAUCCGACACAUCAGAUGACGUCAAAAGUUGAUUAUGGUCUGUUCGUGUUAAUUAAUGUCUAAUUAAUAGUUUAUAUAACAUUUAAGGCCUAAAGAAAGACCUGCAAUAGACAGAUUAGCUCUUGCAUACUGUAUGUUUAAUAUUUAUUUCAGGAGUCAAAUGCAUGUAUCUUGUUAAUUUACAAACUGUUGCUAUUAUAUAAUAAAACACAACUGAA
Patella vulgata (common limpet) is the source of this 2868-nucleotide long non-coding RNA. RefSeq lists it as uncharacterized. The record is from RefSeq and is a predicted model, not a curated record. NCBI's taxonomy places the organism in Eukaryota, Metazoa, Mollusca, Gastropoda, Patellidae. The transcript has 6 exons.